AAAUUGAAGAGUUUGAUCAUGGCUCAGAUUGAACGCUGGCGGCAGGCCUAACACAUGCAAGUCGGACGGUAGCACAGGGGAGCUUGCUCCCCGGGUGACGAGUGGCGGACGGGUGAGUAAUGUCUGGGAAACUGCCCGGUGGAGGGGGAUAACUACUGGAAACGGUAGCUAAUACCGCAUAACGUCUUCGGACCAAAGUGGGGGACCUUAGGGCCUCACGCCACCGGAUGUGCCCAGAUGGGAUUAGCUAGUAGGUGGGGUAACGGCUCACCUAGGCGACGAUCCCUAGCUGGUCUGAGAGGAUGACCAGCCACACUGGAACUGAGACACGGUCCAGACU
Molecule: ribosomal RNA, 340 nt
Filed under: Pantoea sp. Acro-807
Lineage: Bacteria; Pseudomonadati; Pseudomonadota; Gammaproteobacteria; Enterobacterales; Erwiniaceae
Description: bacterial SSU rRNA
Rfam family: Bacterial small subunit ribosomal RNA
Source: RNAcentral